GAUGAACGCUGGCGGCGUGCCUAAUACAUGCAAGUCGAGCGAACGGACGAGAAGCUUGCUUCUCUGAUGUUAGCGGCGGACGGGUGAGUAACACGUGGAUAACCUACCUAUAAGACUGGGAUAACUUCGGGAAACCGGAGCUAAUACCGGAUAAUAUUUUGAACCGCAUGGUUCAAAAGUGAAAGACGGUCUUGCUGUCACUUAUAGAUGGAUCCGCGCUGCAUUAGCUAGUUGGUAAGGUAACGGCUUACCAAGGCAACGAUGCAUAGCCGACCUGAGAGGGUGAUCGGCCACACUGGAACUGAGACACGGUCCAGACUCCUACGGGAGGCAGCAGUAGGGAAUCUUCCGCAAUGGGCGAAAGCCUGACGGAGCAACGCCGCGUGAGUGAUGAAGGUCUUCGGUUCGUAAAACUCUGUUAUUGGGGAAGAACAUAUGUGUAAGUAACUGUGCACAUCUUAACGGUACCUAAUCAGAAAGCCCCGGCUAACUACGG
Molecule: ribosomal RNA, 496 nt
Filed under: uncultured bacterium
Lineage: Bacteria
Description: partial 16S ribosomal RNA
Rfam family: Bacterial small subunit ribosomal RNA
Source: RNAcentral